This 310-nucleotide ribosomal RNA is filed under the name Oryza officinalis. RNAcentral also lists the same sequence under 1 other name. The record is from RNAcentral. Lineage: Eukaryota; Viridiplantae; Streptophyta; Magnoliopsida; Poales; Poaceae.
GGAUGCGAUCAUACCAGCACUAAAGCACCGGAUCCCAUCAGAACUCCGAAGUUAAGCGUGCUUGGGCGAGAGUAGUACUAGGAUGGGUGACCUCCUGGGAAGUCCUCGUGUUGCAUCCCUGACUUUUGCCGUUUCCGUCGCUCGCUUUGUUCCGUUCGUUGCAGCCCCGUUCGUUGCACGGUUUGUUGCCGUUUCCGUCGCUCGCUUUGUUCCGUUCGUUGCAGCCCCGUUCGUUGCACGGUUUGGCCAAUUUUCGCCGGCCGUCCUCGCGGGGGGCGAAGAUAAGGGGAGCGGCGGCGCGGGGCAUGUC